RNAcentral lists this ribosomal RNA (407 nucleotides) under uncultured bacterium. Its description in RNAcentral is "partial 16S ribosomal RNA". It matches the Rfam family "Bacterial small subunit ribosomal RNA", at positions 30 to 526 of the family's 1533-position model. The record is from RNAcentral.
AUUGAACGCUGGCGGCAGGCCUAACACAUGCAAGUCGAGCGGAGCGGCGGACGGGUGAGUAAUGCCUAGGAAUCUGCCUGGUAGUGGGGGAUAACGUCCGGAAACGGGCGCUAAUACCGCAUACUAUCAGAUGAGCCUAGGUCGGAUUAGCUAGUUGGUGGGGUAAAGGCCUACCAAGGCGACGAUCCGUAACUGGUCUGAGAGGAUGAUCAGUCACACUGGAACUGAGAUACGGUCCAGACUACUACGGGACGCAGCAAUGGGGAAUAUUGGACAAUGGGCGAAAGCCUGAUCCAGCCAUGCCGCGUGUGGGAAGAAGGUCUUCGGAUUGUACAGCACUUUAAGUUGGGAGGCGGUACCCGCAUAAGAAGCACCGGCUAACUCCGUGCCAGCAGCCGCGGUAAUUC